This 375-nucleotide unclassified non-coding RNA is filed under the name uncultured Candidatus Midichloriaceae bacterium. Its description in RNAcentral is "contains 16S-23S intergenic spacer region". Lineage: Bacteria; Pseudomonadati; Pseudomonadota; Alphaproteobacteria; Rickettsiales; Candidatus Midichloriaceae. The record is from RNAcentral.
UCCGGCUUGUCACCGGCAGUUUCCUUAGAGUGCCCGGCAUUAUCCGCUGGUAACUAAGGAUGAGGGUUGCGCUCGUUGCGGGACUUAACCCAACAUCUCACGACACGAGCUGACGACAGCCAUGCAACACCUGUGAUGAUCCAACUAAAUGACCAGCUAAUUUCUUAGCCGUACAAUCACCAUGUCAAGGUCUGGUAAGGUUUUUCGCGUAGCAUCGAAUUAAACCACAUGUUCCACCGCUUGUGCGGGUCCCCGUCAAUUCCGUUGAGUUUUAAUCUUGCGACCGUACUUCCCAGGCGGAGUGCUUAACGCGUUAGCUACGACACCAAAGUCAAGCUCUGAUAUCUAGCACUCAUCGUUUAGGGCGUGGACUAC